This 2481-nucleotide long non-coding RNA is filed under the name Mus caroli (Ryukyu mouse). RNAcentral describes it as "RIKEN cDNA 9330175M20 gene (MGP_CAROLIEiJ_G0002333.1)". Lineage: Eukaryota; Metazoa; Chordata; Mammalia; Rodentia; Muridae. The record is from RNAcentral.
AGGAACGGUACAGAAGGACAAGCACGCCACGAAGCCCACAGCUCCGUUUGAAAAGUGACUGCCUUGACAUUUACCCAGGCUCAGCCACUGGUUUAGGAAAGAAGAGGUCUCAGAUGAAUGCAGAACUCACUAAUACUGUAAAUCUUGCUAGCUUGUCUGCCCUGAUCGCCCAUGUCUGCUUUUUGAACGUAGAAUUAUGUGCAGACUGCCGAAUCUCUUAUUCACAAAGAAAGCCAAAUAUUACAUUUUCAGGUAUUUUCAGGAAAGAUAAGAAGGCAGAAGAGAGAGCCAAGUACAUCCCAGAGACCUAACCAGGCCCAAAAUGAAGGAUUCUUGGCUGGUAAAAGAACAAAAAAAAAGUCUUCAGUUGCCUCUGCCAGCCUCAGUCAAAGUUUGCAUUUCCUUCGCAGGAUGACAUCCUCUGCGAAGAGGCUGCUUGUGUAUGCAGAACGGAUGAGCCUCCUCAGCUGGUCCUGGGUGACACAUUCAGAUGGUUCUGUUGAAAUCUAACUCCAACUACCUGCAAUCCCUUGGCCAUCUUCCAAGAGAGUGGAUCCUUCCAAAACCUCAAUUUCAGCUCAAGUCUGACAUAAUUUCAAGCUCUCAACUUGUGUGUACAUGUGUGUGAGUGUGUGUACAUGUGUGUGUACAUGUGUGUGUGUGUGUAAAUGCUAAAAGAAGGGUAUAAAGGAUGGAUCUAUUUAUUCCUCAUAGUAGUUUGUGGACCCAACCUUCUGUUUCCCUAGUAAUAUUAGAAAGAAAAAUAGCACAAUUUCCCUUCCUUAGGAUUUAAAACAUCACAUUAAAAAAUUAGAAGUAUCACCUUUGCUUUAUUGAAGCCCCUUGAUGAAGAAGAACUUCCUCUUGGUCAAAAGAAUGACAUUUGAGUUAUACUUGUGGCCCUAAUGGAGACAUGACAUCCUGAUAUUUUCCAAAGAUUAGAAUAUUACAGAGUAUUGUUUGCUCCUUUAAGAGGAAACCAGUAUAUAAGACUUGAGGAAAGAUAUUGAGCUAGAACUAACCAGGAAGCCUCUUGCCAAAGGUGAGCUUUCAUUGUAUCUGAAGAUGUUAUACAAGUUGCCAAGGGAGAAAAGCAGUCAAUAGCUCUACCCCAGUGUAAAGGCUAUAGAUCACAUCAAUGAAUAGCAUGGGAAGACAACCCCAAGGGCACUUAGGUUUCGGGAAAACCAGUAGCCGUCCAAUUGGACUUAAGGCUCUCUUAGUAGGUAAGAUUCAUUCUGGAAUUCAUGGACCUUAUGGAGAAUCUGCUAUUGUCACUUCUUUAAGCCAGUGUCAUUUCCAAUGAAACUCUAAAUACAUAUCCUUAUUCUGAGUAAGACGCUCUUGCCUAUCAUCAAAGAAAAUUUGUUUCUUCAUCAGGUGGAGAGUAUUACAAAAAUCUACAGCAAGUCACACACAGAUAAUAGCUGACUCGGAAGUGCCUAACCCAAACUGAUACAUGUACAGUACAAUUCCUAUACCUCAGGUCCAGGGAACACCCCAGGAAAUGUGGCAGAAAUACUGGAAGAACCAGAGACCAGAACAUCUGCUGUGAGAUGGUAUCUUCUAUAUAUUACAAAGAAGCUGUACCCAUGAAAUCUCAAAAAUAUGGUUGCCUGGACAAGAUCUCCACAAAGACAACACUAGUUGACAUUCCAGUGUUGAUAGGAGAAAUAUCAAAUAAUCAAAAUAUCAAUUCCCCUAAAGGAAAUAUGGGCAAUUAAUGGCUGCUGAGAGAGGUAGAAUCAGGCCUCUCCUUGGGCAAGCCCCUAUGUUAUCCCUAAAGAAGUAUACACACAAGCAGCACUAAACAGAUCCAUAAAGCUGGAUUUAUAUAUACAUGUGUUUGUUUAUAUUUGUAACAAUAAUUAAAGAGGAGUUGGGGGACAGGGGAGGUGUUUGAGGAGGAGAAAGAAGUGUGCAACUGGCAUAAAUAUGCUACUCAUGUAUGCAAUUCUCAAUACAAAAUUCAAAGAGAAAAUCAUCGUUAAUUUACCUGGAUCUGUCAAUUACUUGCCCUGAAGACUACACCUCAAGAAAUGGAUUCAUUUGAAGGCAUUCUAAAGAGAUGGGAAGAAUAAUUGUGCUCGUAAUGAUAUAGCACAGAAAUUGGAGUACAGUCUAGUCGAGAGCACCCACCAUGCAGCCCUGCUAGACCUAUCCAACCCUAGUUCUUUGUUCUAACUGAAAAAAGCCUAACUUUUUUCUAUUUCUUCUUAUUUCCUUUUCUUGAGAUACUGCCUAAACCUCUAAUUAUGCUUUACUUCAGGGCUUUGGCACUUUUUUUCUGAAGCCCCUGACCUUCUACAUUGCAGCCGCGUGCUACCCUGCUGAACAUUGCUAAUGUUGCUGAACAUGCUGACCUCCCUAACGCAAAUGCAUGACUUUCUUCCUUCCUUACCUCCGAGUAGUCACUGAGAUUUACAGCCUGCCUGUACUGUUGCUUUUCUCUCAAACUCUAAUAAAAUUGCCCUCUAACUU